ACCUCACAGCGCGCUUCGGUGAGUCACCAUUGAGGACACUCCGCAAAGGACAAGCGAUAACAAAGGAAGGGAGCGAAGGAAAGGGACGCGCUCGCGUCCCUCUGGGUGUCCUUAAAUAUCCUCGUUUCUGUUUUUCACUCCAGGGCAUCGUUGUCGCCGAGCGGAGAACGGCUGCUGCCUCACCGACGUCUAGCACCACCGAGGGACAAGAAAAUACUGUACACAGACAAGCCUCACCGCACUCAGACCUCUACUUCAACUGGGGCCACACAGUGGAAGAACGCCAAGCUCACGCGCUGCGCCCGUGUGCAUGUGUUGGCGCGUGUAGCUCUUCUUCGCCUGCUAUUCACGGCUGCCUAUCCUCCACUGGAGCGCCUGCAGAAGGGCAGUACGUCGUGCACCAGCAAAGGCGCGGUUUGAAGAACGUCAUGAAGUUGUGCGGCGUGCGCAGCAGCGGUGUCUCUCUCACGCGGUCUUCUGAUUUUCCGCGUUUUCGGGCUGCCCACCAUGGUGGUGCACACACGGCAACGCGACAUCAAAGUCUCUGUGGACGGCGCCUCGACUCCUACAUGGGCGCUGGCAAAAGAUGGUGCUUUAGGCCCCUGCUUGCGGAGCCCCGAAGGUACAGCAACGCUUCUUCCGCUUUCACAACUGACGCUGCCACCGCGCCGGCGCAUGGGGAGGGCCUAUACGUGUCCCACUACGCCAUGCCAGAAGACGCACGUCGCCUUGUCGGGACACCGCAGUUGCUGCCACGGAACCCCGCAGAGGAGGUUGCCUUCAAGAAAAACCUAAUCAGGAGCUUCCCGCAGGCAUGCAUCCGCAACGUGAGUGUAGUGGCGCACGUGGACCACGGCAAGACGACGCUCUCCGACGCCAUGCUUCGUUUCUCGAAUCUUCUGCCGGCGGACGGGGCCACCGGCACCUUUACAGAUCGCCUCAAGGUGGAGAAAGAGCGUGGCAUCACCAUCAAAGCACAGACAUGCAGCGUGCUUCUCACGGUGCGUGAGACGGGCACACAGUAUCUCGUGAACCUGAUCGACACUCCGGGGCACGUAGACUUUCAGUACGAGGUAUCGCGUAGCCUCUGCGCCUCCGAGGGUGCAGCGCUGCUGGUGGACGUUCGGCAAGGCGUGGAGGCACAGACCAUGGCACAGUUUUAUGCGGCACUUGAACAAAAUCUCACCAUCUUGCCGGUGCUGACGAAGAUGGACAGUGUAAUGAGCGACGCUGAGGUGGAGAAGACGCUGCUGCAGCUGGAGGACAGCACCGGGCUGCUCAGCCGCGAAGUUAUUCUGACGAGCGCGAAGAGUAAGCAGGGUAUCGAGCAGCUCUUCCAGCACAUCAUUGACAAGGUGCCGCCCCCAUGUGGUCGUGAAGGCUUCUCUGACAUGAAGCAGCUUCCAGCCAUGCACCCUGGCAGUGCUGAUCGAAAGAAGGUGGAGAAAGAGCUGGUGCCGCUGCGCGCUCUGCUCUUCGACUGCUGGACUUCCGAGAGCAGUGGCAUGGCAGAUGGUGCUGCAUCAGCGCCGGUGAGCACGGCUUCCUCGGUCUCCUCGGGAACGGCCCCUGCCUCCGGCGGCCAAUCUGUGGCGAAGGACGGCAUCUACGGCCUCAUUCGUGUCAUGGAUGGCACCGUCACCCCAGGCACUACCGUCACCUUCUUCCACUCCGGAAAGAAGCACGAGGUGCGCGAGGUGGGCAUCAUCCAUCCCACUCUGCACCCAACCGCGGCCCUCACGGCUGGUAUGGUCGGCUUCGUGUUCUUCCCUGGCCUGCUCAAGAAAGACGUUUUCAUCGGCGACACCCUCUGUACACUGCCGACGCGAAAGCACACGAUGAGAGUGGUGGCGACAGGGCCCCCUGCGACCGCGUCACGCACGAAACCCGCCACGGCAGCAGAGACAGCGAGCAGCGACGACGCGAGCGGCAGUGGCAGCUCAUCUGUAGUAGAGCCGAUCCCUGGCUUCAAGACGGUGCAGCCCGUCGUCUUCGCUGGCUUCUACCCCGACGAAGGCGUCUACAUCACGCAACUGCGCGAGGCAGUGGAUCUCCUGUGCGUGAAUGACCCCUCCGUCACGGUGGAGCAGCUGCAGUGCCCAGCGCUCGGCCCCGGGCUGCAGCUGGGCUUUCUCGGCUUCCUUCACAUGCAGGUCUUCAAGGAGCGGCUGCUCAUGGAGUUUGGGCAGGCGGUGCUCGUCACGCCGCCGCAGGUGCAGUACAUGUACGUGGAGCAGCACGGCGACCCUGACGACCCGGCGCAGCGGAAGCCUGUCUCCGUCAGCAACUGGCGGUGGCCGCACGAAGGCGUCGGGGCGUACCUCGAGCCAUUCGUCACAGCAACGGUCCUGACGCCAAGCGAGUAUCUCAACGAGAUCAACAGCGCUGCGCUCAGCGCCUUUCGAGGCGAGAUGCAGGAGAUGCGCGUGAUCGACGGCGCCCGCACUUUGGUGCGGUAUCGUAUGCCAUUGGCAGACCUCGCCCGCGGCUUCUUCUCGACGGUAAAGAGCAGCUCGCACGGGUACGCGACGCUGGAGUACGACGAUCUUACCUACAUGACUGCCGACCUGGUGAAGAUGGACAUCGUCAUCAACAAGGCACACAUCUCCGCGCUGUCGACGAUUUGCCUGCGCCACGAAGCCAACACGCACGCCCGGCGCAUCAUCGGCUCCCUCAAGGAGAAACUGCUCCGCUCCUCCGUUGACCUGCCACUGCAGGCACUGGUGGGGAGCAAGAUCAUUGCCCGAGAGACCGUCAAGGCGUACCGCAAGGACGUCACCGCAAAGAUUCACGCCGGUGACAUUUCACGCAAGCAGAAGAAGUGGAAUGACCAGAAAAAGGGCAAGGAACGCAUGGCUCGCCGGAGUGUCGGCACCGUAACGCUGGACCAAAGCGUGCUCGCGGCUGCCUUGGGGGCAACCACUGCACGGUAGGAGGUGGAUAAGGUCAUGAAAGAGGAAACUGCGUGGCGCCUUUGUGUAUGUCUGCGAUGCGCCGUGCAGCAGAAUGAGGCGAGCACCUCUCGGUAUGCUUGCUCCCUCCUUUCUCUUCGCUUCUUCACACGCGUGCCGCAUCUCCCUUCCUUCUGUUUUUUUUUCUUGUCCGUUCUCACG
RNAcentral lists this unclassified non-coding RNA (3113 nucleotides) under Leishmania donovani. RNAcentral describes it as "gene:LdHU3.34.1000(CDS-product:Translation_factor _GUF1_mitochondrial_putative)". The record is from RNAcentral. Lineage: Eukaryota; Euglenozoa; Kinetoplastea; Trypanosomatida; Trypanosomatidae.